UAGGGAAUCUUCGGCAAUGGACGAAAGCCUGACCGAGCAACGCCGCGUGAGUGAAGAAGGUUUUCGGAUCGUAAAACUCUUUUGUUAGAGAAGAACAAGGACGUUAGUAACUGAACGUCCCCUGACGGUAUCUAACCAGAAAGCCACGGCUAACUACGUGCCAGCAGCCGCGGUAAUACGUAGGUGGCAAGCGUUGUCCGGAUUUAUUGGGCGUAAAGCGAGCGCAGGCGGUUUCUUAAGUCUGAUGUGAAAGCCCCCGGCUCAACCGGGGAGGGUCAUUGGAAACUGGGAGACUUGAGUGCAGAAGAGGAGAGUGGAAUUCCAUGUGUAGCGGUGAAAUGCGUAGAUAUAUGGAGGAACACCAGUGGCGAAGGCGGCUCUCUGGUCUGUAACUGACGCUGAGGCUCGAAAGCGUGGGGAGCAAACAGG
Molecule: ribosomal RNA, 429 nt
Filed under: Gemmatimonadota bacterium
Lineage: Bacteria; Pseudomonadati; Gemmatimonadota
Description: Gemmatimonadetes bacterium partial 16S ribosomal RNA
Rfam family: Bacterial small subunit ribosomal RNA
Source: RNAcentral